This is a long non-coding RNA of Poecilia latipinna (sailfin molly), 991 nucleotides long. RefSeq lists it as uncharacterized. The transcript has 2 exons. The record is from RefSeq and is a predicted model, not a curated record. Lineage: Eukaryota; Metazoa; Chordata; Actinopteri; Cyprinodontiformes; Poeciliidae.
GGAACACAAACUGAGUUUCUCUUUUAAAAUAUCGAUGCUGAUCCCUGGUAGAGACUCAACUCUUCACUUCUAAUACCAAAACUCAAAUCUGAGGCUUUGUAUCAGUUGAUUCAAUCCAAUACAGAAAAACAGCUGAAUGGACUUAAAACAUUUGUUAAAGUUAUGUUAGAAAUGUUUGUAAAUGUACAGAAUUACAAAAUUAUCUGCUAACUCUGCACCAGUACAACACAUUUAAACCCACCAAUAGUGUCACAAGCCAGUGUAACCAGGAUAAUUUUUCUAUAUUAGAUUCAGUUUAUUUUAUUUUCCAUUUUGUUAGAUCUAAUUUUAUUUAUUUUUAUUUAAAGGUUAAUUAAAAUCCUCCUUUCCUUAAUUUAUUCAACACCAACCAGGCGAGAACAACAUUGUUCUCGCGCGGUUUUGACGUCAUGUGACGGCUGCACGUCAGCGUCCUAAAUUGACAGCUACGGCUUAUAUGGCUGCUAAUCGCACCUUAGGUAGGAAACGCUGUCGGACCCUGACGUACAGGUAGGCUUCUGGUCUGUUCCCAAAGCGGUUUUCAGAUAUCAUGUGCCUCUGUUAACUUGCAGACGUGUGAUCAAUCAACCGAACGUUGUAAAGAUCACGGUUGGUCAAGAGGGAACUGGCCAGGUGUAUUGCAGAUCCCCCGCUCAAGGAGUGGCUGAAGGGUCUAGGAUACAGCAAGGAUUGUCUGGCUUCAUGCUGACCAGACUGGCGAGCUAACCGUUUAGUGGAUCCGGAAAUGCAACGCCUAUUGUCUGAGGAAACUCUUCCGAACUGGUUGGAGAUUCAGCCCAACAAGUCUUCACUGAAGGAACUGGAUUAUUUUUUUUUUGUUUUUUUUUCCCCUUUCAUCAUCAACAAAUACUGGUUGACUUCCUUGGUUUAAGGAACCCAUUUGGACUUUAAAAUUGUGGACUAACUUGUAUAUAUUGUAAAUAUUAAUACAACUCACCAAUUUUGCACCAUC